GGGCGCGUAGCUCAGCGGGAGAGCGCUCGCCUUACAAGCGAGUGGUCGCAGGUUCGAUCCCUGCCGCGCCCACCC
RNAcentral lists this transfer RNA (75 nucleotides) under Parafrankia sp. EUN1f. Its description in RNAcentral is "Frankia sp. EUN1f tRNA-Val". It matches the Rfam family "tRNA". From Rfam's summary of the family: Transfer RNA (tRNA) molecules are approximately 80 nucleotides in length. Lineage: Bacteria; Bacillati; Actinomycetota; Actinomycetes; Frankiales; Frankiaceae. The record is from RNAcentral.